This 1364-nucleotide ribosomal RNA is filed under the name Brevibacterium sp. RNAcentral describes it as "bacterial SSU rRNA". It matches the Rfam family "Bacterial small subunit ribosomal RNA", at positions 68 to 1441 of the family's 1533-position model. Lineage: Bacteria; Bacillati; Actinomycetota; Actinomycetes; Micrococcales; Brevibacteriaceae. The record is from RNAcentral.
GAAGCCUGGUGCUUGCACCGGGUGGAUGAGUGGCGAACGGGUGAGUAACACGUGAGUAACCUGCCCCUGACUUCGGGAUAAGCCCGGGAAACUGGGUCUAAUACCGGAUACGACUGCCGGACGCAUGUCUGGUGGUGGAAAGUUUUUUCGGUUGGGGAUGGGCUCGCGGCCUAUCAGUUUGUUGGUGAGGUAAUGGCUCACCAAGACGACGACGGGUAGCCGGCCUGAGAGGGCGACCGGCCACACUGGGACUGAGACACGGCCCAGACUCCUACGGGAGGCAGCAGUGGGGAAUAUUGCACAAUGGGGGAAACCCUGAUGCAGCGACGCAGCGUGCGGGAUGACGGCCUUCGGGUUGUAAACCGCUUUCAGCAGGGAAGAAGCGCAAGUGACGGUACCUGCAGAAGAAGUACCGGCUAACUACGUGCCAGCAGCCGCGGUAAUACGUAGGGUACGAGCGUUGUCCGGAAUUAUUGGGCGUAAAGAGCUCGUAGGUGGUUGGUCACGUCUGCUGUGGAAACGCAACGCUUAACGUUGCGCGUGCAGUGGGUACGGGCUGACUAGAGUGCAGUAGGGGAGUCUGGAAUUCCUGGUGUAGCGGUGAAAUGCGCAGAUAUCAGGAGGAACACCGGUGGCGAAGGCGGGACUCUGGGCUGUAACUGACACUGAGGAGCGAAAGCAUGGGGAGCGAACAGGAUUAGAUACCCUGGUAGUCCAUGCCGUAAACGUUGGGCACUAGGUGUGGGGGGCAUUCCACGUUCUCCGCGCCGUAGCUAACGCAUUAAGUGCCCCGCCUGGGGAGUACGGUCGCAAGGCUAAAACUCAAAGGAAUUGACGGGGGCCCGCACAAGCGGCGGAGCAUGCGGAUUAAUUCGAUGCAACGCGAAGAACCUUACCAAGGCUUGACAUACACCGGACCGUCCUGGAAACAGGUCCUCUUCUUUGAAGCUGGUGUACAGGUGGUGCAUGGUUGUCGUCAGCUCGUGUCGUGAGAUGUUGGGUUAAGUCCCGCAACGAGCGCAACCCUUGUUUUAUGUUGCCAGCACGUGAUGGUGGGAAAUCAUAGGAGACUGCCGGGGUCAACUCGGAGGAAGGUGGGGAUGACGUCAAAUCAUCAUGCCCUUUAUGUCUUGGGCUUCACGCAUGCUACAAUGGGUGGUACAGAGAGAGGCGAACCCGUGAGGGCAAGCGAAUCCCUUAAAGCCAGUCUCAGUUCGGAUCGUAGUCUGCAAUUCGACUACGUGAAGUAGGAGUCGCUAGUAAUCGCAGAUCAGCAACGCUGCGGUGAAUACGUUCCCGGGCCUUGUACACACCGCCCGUCAAGUCACGAAAGUCGGUAACACCCGAAGCCGGUGGCCUAACCG